Molecule: unclassified non-coding RNA, 391 nt
Filed under: soil metagenome
Description: partial contains 5.8S ribosomal RNA, internal transcribed spacer 2, and large subunit ribosomal RNA
Rfam family: 5.8S ribosomal RNA (bases 1-122)
Source: RNAcentral
GAUGAAGAACGCAGCGAAAUGCGAUACUUGGUGUGAAUUGCAGAAUCCCGUGAACCAUCGAGUCUUUGAACGCAAGUUGCGCCCGAAGCCAUUAGGCCGAGGGCACGCCUGCCUGGGCGUCACACGUCGUUGCCCCCCCAUCUACUCCUUCGGGAUUGCGGGGGGCGGAUGAUGGCCUCCCGUGCGCCUCGUCGCGCGGUUGGCAUAAAUGCCAAGUCCUCGGCGACGCACGCCACGACAAUCGGUGGUUGCGAAACCUCGGUUGCACGUCGUGUGCGGUCGUCGCGCAUCGAGGGCUCGAAAAAAUUGCCGGGCUCCGGCUCGGCUUUCAACGCGACCCCAGGUCAGGCGGGGUUACCCGCUGAAUUUAAGCAUAUCAAUAAGCGGAGGA